ACGGGAGGCAGCAGUGGGGGAUAUUGCACAAUGGGGGAAACCCUGAUGCAGCGACGCCGCGUGAGUGAAGAAGUAUUUCGGUAUGUAAAGCUCUAUCAGCAGGGAAGAAAAUGACGGUACCUGACUAAGAAGCUCCGGCUAAAUACGUGCCAGCAGCCGCGGUAAUACGUAGGUGGCAAGCGUUGUCCGGAUUUACUGGGUGUAAAGGGCGUGUAGACGGGAUUGCAAGUCAGAGGUGAAAUUUAUGGGCUCAACCCAUAACCUGCCUUUGAAACUGUGAUUCUUGAGUGAUGGAGAGGUAAGCGGAAUUCCUAGUGUAGCGGUGAAAUGCGUAGAUAUUAGGAGGAACACCGGUGGCGAAGGCGGCUUACUGGACAUUAACUGACGUUGAGGCGCGAAAGUGUGGGGAGCAAACAGGAUUAGAUACCCUGGUA
This 434-nucleotide ribosomal RNA is filed under the name uncultured Clostridium sp. RNAcentral's name for it is "partial 16S ribosomal RNA". It matches the Rfam family "Bacterial small subunit ribosomal RNA", at positions 341 to 792 of the family's 1533-position model. Lineage: Bacteria; Bacillati; Bacillota; Clostridia; Eubacteriales; Clostridiaceae. The record is from RNAcentral.